GAUGAACGCUGGCGGCGUGCCUAAUACAUGCAAGUCGAGCGAACAGACGAGGAGCUUGCUCCUCUGACGUUAGCGGCGGACGGGUGAGUAACACGUGGAUAACCUACCUAUAAGACUGGGAUAACUUCGGGAAACCGGAGCUAAUACCGGAUAAUAUAUUGAACCGCAUGGUUCAAUAGUGAAAGACGGUUUUGCUGUAACUUAUAGAUGGAUCCGCGCCGCAUUAGCUAGUUGGUAAGGUAACGGCUUACCAAGGCAACGAUGCGUAGCCGACCUGAGAGGGUGAUCGGCCACACGGGAACUGAGACACGGUCCAGACUCCUACGGGAGGCAGCAGUAGGGAAUCUUCCGCAAUGGGCGAAAGCCUGACGGAGCAACGCCGCGUGAGUGAUGAAGGUCUUCGGAUCGUAAAACUCUGUUAUUAGGGAAGAACAAAUGUGUAAGUAACUAUGCACGUCUUGACGGUACCUAAUCAGAAAGCCACGGCUAACUACGUG
This 497-nucleotide ribosomal RNA is filed under the name uncultured bacterium. Its description in RNAcentral is "partial 16S ribosomal RNA". It matches the Rfam family "Bacterial small subunit ribosomal RNA", at positions 28 to 507 of the family's 1533-position model. The record is from RNAcentral.